AUUGAACGCUGGCGGCAUGCUUUACACAUGCAAGUCGAACGGUAACAGGGUGCUUGCACCGCUGACGAGUGGCGAACGGGUGAGUAAUGCGUCGGAACGUGCCGAGUAGUGGGGGAUAACGCAGCGAAAGUUGUGCUAAUACCGCAUACGUACUGAGGUAGAAAGUGGGGGACCUUCGGGCCUCACGCUAUUCGAGCGGCCGACGUCUGAUUAGCUAGUAGGUGGGGUAAAGGCUCACCUAGGCGACGAUCAGUAGCGGGUCUGAGAGGGUGAUCCGCCACACUGGGACUGAGACACGGGCCAGACUCCUACGGGAGGCAGCAGUGGGGAAUUUUGGACAAUGGGCGAAAGCCUGAUCCAGCCAUGCCGCGUGUCUGAAGAAGGCCUUCGGGUUGUAAAGGACUUUUGUCAGGGAGGAAAUCCCUAGUGCUAAUAACACUGGGGGAUGACAGUAUCUGAAGAAUAAGCACCGGCUAACUACGUGCCAGCAGCCGCAGUAA
Molecule: ribosomal RNA, 500 nt
Filed under: uncultured bacterium
Lineage: Bacteria
Description: partial 16S ribosomal RNA
Rfam family: Bacterial small subunit ribosomal RNA
Source: RNAcentral